GGUUAAGCGACUAAGCGUACACGGUGGAUGCCCUGGCAGUCAGAGGCGAUGAAGGACGUGCUAAUCUGCGAUAAGCGUCGGUAAGGUGAUAUGAACCGUUAUAACCGGCGAUUUCCGAAUGGGGAAACCCAGUGUGAUUCGUCACACUAUCAUUAACUGAAUCCAUAGGUUAAUGAGGCGAACCGGGGGAACUGAAACAUCUAAGUACCCCGAGGAAAAGAAAUCAACCGAGAUUCCCCCAGUAGCGGCGAGCGAACGGGGAGCAGCCCAGAGCCUGAAUCAGUGUGUGUGUUAGUGGAAGCGUCUGGAAAGGCGUGCGAUACAGGGUGACAGCCCCGUACACAAAAAUGCACAUGCUGUGAGCUCGAUGAGUAGGGCGGGACACGUGGUAUCCUGUCUGAAUAUGGGGGGACCAUCCUCCAAGGCUAAAUACUCCUGACUGACCGAUAGUGAACCAGUACCGUGAGGGAAAGGCGAAAAGAACCCCGGCGAGGGGAGUGAAAAAGAACCUGAAACCGUGUACGUACAAGCAGUGGGAGCACAGAGCAAUCUGUGUGACUGCGUACCUUUUGUAUAAUGGGUCAGCGACUUAUAUUCUGUAGCAAGGUUAACCGAAUAGGGGAGCCGAAGGGAAACCGAGUCUUAACUGGGCGUUAAGUUGCAGGGUAUAGACCCGAAACCCGGUGAUCUAGCCAUGGGCAGGUUGAAGGUUGGGUAACACUAACUGGAGGACCGAACCGACUAAUGUUGAAAAAUUAGCGGAUGACUUGUGGCUGGGGGUGAAAGGCCAAUCAAACCGGGAGAUAGCUGGUUCUCCCCGAAAGCUAUUUAGGUAGCGCCUCGUGAAUUCAUCUCCGGGGGUAGAGCACUGUUUCGGCAAGGGGGUCAUCCCGACUUACCAACCCGAUGCAAACUGCGAAUACCGGAGAAUGUUAUCACGGGAGACACACGGCGGGUGCUAACGUCCGUCGUGAAGAGGGAAACAACCCAGACCGCCAGCUAAGGUCCCAAAGUCAUGGUUAAGUGGGAAACGAUGUGGGAAGGCCCAGACAGCCAGGAUGUUGGCUUAGAAGCAGCCAUCAUUUAAAGAAAGCGUAAUAGCUCACUGGUCGAGUCGGCCUGCGCGGAAGAUGUAACGGGGCUAAACCAUGCACCGAAGCUGCGGCAGCGACGCUUAUGCGUUGUUGGGUAGGGGAGCGUUCUGUAAGCCUGCGAAGGUGUGCUGUGAGGCAUGCUGGAGGUAUCAGAAGUGCGAAUGCUGACAUAAGUAACGAUAAAGCGGGUGAAAAGCCCGCUCGCCGGAAGACCAAGGGUUCCUGUCCAACGUUAAUCGGGGCAGGGUGAGUCGACCCCUAAGGCGAGGCCGAAAGGCGUAGUCGAUGGGAAACAGGUUAAUAUUCCUGUACUUGGUGUUACUGCGAAGGGGGACGGAGAAGGCUAUGUUGGCCGGGCGACGGUUGUCCCGGUUUAAGCGUGUAGGCUGGUUUUCCAGGCAAAUCCGGAAAACUAAGGCUGAGGCGUGAUGACGAGGCACUACGGUGCUGAAGCAACAAAUGCCCUGCUUCCAGGAAAAGCCUCUAAGCAUCAGGUAACAUCAAAUCGUACCCCAAACCGACACAGGUGGUCAGGUAGAGAAUACCAAGGCGCUUGAGAGAACUCGGGUGAAGGAACUAGGCAAAAUGGUGCCGUAACUUCGGGAGAAGGCACGCUGAUAUGUAGGUGAAGUCCCUCGCGGAUGGAGCUGAAAUCAGUCGAAGAUACCAGCUGGCUGCAACUGUUUAUUAAAAACACAGCACUGUGCAAACACGAAAGUGGACGUAUACGGUGUGACGCCUGCCCGGUGCCGGAAGGUUAAUUGAUGGGGUUAGCGCAAGCGAAGCUCUUGAUCGAAGCCCCGGUAAACGGCGGCCGUAACUAUAACGGUCCUAAGGUAGCGAAAUUCCUUGUCGGGUAAGUUCCGACCUGCACGAAUGGCGUAAUGAUGGCCAGGCUGUCUCCACCCGAGACUCAGUGAAAUUGAACUCGCUGUGAAGAUGCAGUGUACCCGCGGCAAGACGGAAAGACCCCGUGAACCUUUACUAUAGCUUGACACUGAACAUUGAGCCUUGAUGUGUAGGAUAGGUGGGAGGCUUUGAAGUGUGGACGCCAGUCUGCAUGGAGCCGACCUUGAAAUACCACCCUUUAAUGUUUGAUGUUCUAACGUUGACCCGUGAUCCGGGUUGCGGACAGUGUCUGGUGGGUAGUUUGACUGGGGCGGUCUCCUCCUAAAGAGUAACGGAGGAGCACGAAGGUUGGCUAAUCCUGGUCGGACAUCAGGAGGUUAGUGCAAUGGCAUAAGCCAGCUUGACUGCGAGCGUGACGGCGCGAGCAGGUGCGAAAGCAGGUCAUAGUGAUCCGGUGGUUCUGAAUGGAAGGGCCAUCGCUCAACGGAUAAAAGGUACUCCGGGGAUAACAGGCUGAUACCGCCCAAGAGUUCAUAUCGACGGCGGUGUUUGGCACCUCGAUGUCGGCUCAUCACAUCCUGGGGCUGAAGUAGGUCCCAAGGGUAUGGCUGUUCGCCAUUUAAAGUGGUACGCGAGCUGGGUUUAGAACGUCGUGAGACAGUUCGGUCCCUAUCUGCCGUGGGCGCUGGAGAACUGAGGGGGGCUGCUCCUAGUACGAGAGGACCGGAGUGGACGCAUCACUGGUGUUCGGGUUGUCAUGCCAAUGGCACUGCCCGGUAGCUAAAUGCGGAAGAGAUAAGUGCUGAAAGCAUCUAAGCACGAAACUUGCCCCGAGAUGAGUUCUCCCUGACUCCUUGAGAGUCCUGAAGGAACGUUGAAGACGACGACGUUGAUAGGCCGGGUGUGUAAGCGCAGCGAUGCGUUGAGCUAACCGGUACUAAUGAACCGUGAGGCUUAACCUU
RNAcentral lists this ribosomal RNA (2905 nucleotides) under Escherichia coli. Its description in RNAcentral is "23S ribosomal RNA". It matches the Rfam family "Bacterial large subunit ribosomal RNA". The record is from RNAcentral. Lineage: Bacteria; Pseudomonadati; Pseudomonadota; Gammaproteobacteria; Enterobacterales; Enterobacteriaceae.